UUGCACAAAUUUCUGCAGAUGCCCUCCAUUUCUCAACUACUCUCCUAUUUCUCUGUCUCUUUCUCUUCUUUCUGCCUUUUUCUUGGCUGGAGUUGCAGAGAGAAUGGGGUGUGUGAGCAAGAUGGAGAAGCAGGGCACGUGCAUUACUAACUCAUGCACAUAUAUACACAUUUUGUUAUCACUUUCGCUGAAAAGGGUGUGAGUUAGUUUUUCAUGUGCCCGUCUUCCCCAUCAUGACCACUUCACCUACCUAUUGAUUCUUACUGCCUGUUUUUCAAGCUCGAUUCACCAUUUCAGGAUAUUAGCAAUGAAUAGAAUUGAAGUUGACAUGUCAAUUACAGGAUUGCCUUUAAUUUUCUGGUUUGCAUUAGCGGUUGAAAUAGUGGUUAAUAUCAAAACAGGACAAUGAGUUUACGUUGUUCAAAAUUGGCAUACAACAAAUAUGGUGGUUCAGAUACUUUAUGCUUCACCUACCAAAGAAAAGUGGCUGCAUUGAUCAUAUCCACCAGUUUCGGAUCGAUCAAUUUGGAAUUUUCUAAAGCUAUGUAUCUCUAAUUAGAGAAGGCAGAGUAAGACUCAAAAACUAAAGGGGCGAACUAAGAAAUAUGUUCAACCAUUAGGGGUCAAAUUGAAAAAAUAAAAAAUUUACAGUUUUGGGUGUAGGGUUCCUUCCAGCCCCCUUACCUCCCCUUCUCAAACAAAAAUAAUCUUAUUUCUUAUUGUUUAAUUAUGAAGUGGUGAUUUAGAUUGGUGAAAUGUAAAAUUGAAAAUUGUUAUAUAGUCCCUUGAUUUUUCUCAAAUGCAUUAGUGAGGACAUCAAUUUUCAAAAUUAAACUAUUUAAUAUCUAUAUUAUAAUUUCAUCUAUGUUAGUUUUUCCAUUAAGUGGCCGUGAAAUAUCAAAAGUACUUCUCAAAUAAAUUACUUUAUAGUCCUUACAAUUUGGUGAAACACAUUAAUAAGGACCUCAAUAUUCAUAGCUUUGCACUAUCUAGUCCAUAUACAGAAAUUACCUUUAAGAGUAUUUUUGAUAUUUCACUACCACUUAAUUGAAAAAUUAAUCGUUGGACGUAAUAUUAUAACACAAUUAAAUAGUAUAAUCUUAAAAACUAUUUCCUUACUAAUAUAUUUGACAAAAAUCUAGGUACUUUGUAUAUAAUUUAAGGUUUAUCUUUUAUAUCAUCAUUCUUCAUAUUUAUUUAUUUAUUUAUUUUUUUGGCUAAACUUGUCAAUUAUUUUCGAUUCGACCCAUUUCAAAUUCCUAACUGUAUAAUUUCUGUAGGAUAGUUUAGUAACAAUACGCCUUUUCUUUUCUUUUUCUUUUCAUUGAUGGAACUUGCCUAAAUUAUUCUACACGGUGAGGGAGCAAAAUUUCUUUUCUAACAUAAAUGGAUACGACAAUCUAGCAUAGGAUAAAGAUCAAGAAUUGAAAAUGUCCAACGAACGAAUAUGUAAUUUUCAAAGCAAUCAGUGAGUAACUUCAAACUAUAUGUUAUCAAUAUGAGAUAGAACUUUGACUGAAGCAUUAGCCUAGUAACUCUGUAUAUAUAGUGUCAUUAUCAUAAAACGUGAAUUUUAAUUUCCAUGAGUGGUCA
Jatropha curcas is the source of this 1593-nucleotide long non-coding RNA. RefSeq lists it as uncharacterized. NCBI's taxonomy places the organism in Eukaryota, Viridiplantae, Streptophyta, Magnoliopsida, Malpighiales, Euphorbiaceae. The record is from RefSeq and is a predicted model, not a curated record.